AAAGUCCGCCAAAUCUUUAAAGUUUUCCAAGUGUUCAAGUCGAUGUCGUCUUCGAGUUGAAGCUUUAUAACUUUCCAAUCUUAAGGUGGACAUAUAAGUCCCUUUGCACCUUGAGUUGGCCUCUUCGCGGGUUUGUCCUUAAAAGGAACUAUAACUUUCCAAUCUUAAGGUGGACAUAUGAGUCCUUUUACACCUUAAGUUGGCCUCUUCACGGGUUUGUCCUUAAAAGGAACUAUAACUUUCCAAUCUUAAGGUGGACAUAUGAGUCCCUUUGCACCUUAAGUUGGCCUCGCCGAUAGUCGAGCCACAUUGAGAGUAAUCU
RNAcentral lists this long non-coding RNA (322 nucleotides) under Nicotiana tabacum (common tobacco). RNAcentral describes it as "long non-coding RNA (NTAB_LNC017399)". The record is from RNAcentral. Lineage: Eukaryota; Viridiplantae; Streptophyta; Magnoliopsida; Solanales; Solanaceae.